Long non-coding RNA from Rhipicephalus microplus (southern cattle tick), 280 nucleotides. The record is from RefSeq and is a predicted model, not a curated record. Lineage: Eukaryota; Metazoa; Arthropoda; Arachnida; Ixodida; Ixodidae.
CAAGACCAUACAACGUGUGUUCGACGCCUGCCUGCAUCCAACGAGCACAGCUUAUAAAGGACUCAAUGAACACAUCCGUUGAUCCGUGCACCGACUUCUACGCUUACGCUUGCGGUGGCUGGAUGGCAAAGCACAAGAUACCAGAGAGCCAGUCGAUGACGAGCAGUUUCUCCCUGCUGGACGAUGAACUACGGGAAACGCUUCGAGGCAUACUAGGAAACAUGUCCAUCGUUCGGGAACAUCAAAACGUGACAGACAAGGCUGCUAUCGUCUACAACGC